Long non-coding RNA from Cyanistes caeruleus (blue tit), 4503 nucleotides. RefSeq lists it as uncharacterized. The record is from RefSeq and is a predicted model, not a curated record. Lineage: Eukaryota; Metazoa; Chordata; Aves; Passeriformes; Paridae.
GCCGCUCCCGGGGGCAGGAACCGGGCUCGGCAGGGAGGAAAGGGAAUAGCGCUGUCCCGGAAUCUGGUGGGACCACACAACCGUAGUUAAGGAGUCGGAGUGGACUUUAUACUAUUUCCAAUCUAGUUGCAACUCCCUGCCACUAGCCAGGGCACCUUCCACUAGACCAGGUCCCUCAGAGACCCAUCCAAGCUGGCUUUGAACAUCUCCAGGGCUGGGCUAGGCAGAGCUGGGCUAGGCAGAGCUGCUCCGGGCUCACCACCCUGGCAGUACUUUGUUCCUAAUGUCUAAUCUAAUUUUCCCCUCUUUCAGUUUGUACCCAUUACUCCUUGUCCUAUUGCUACUCCAGUUCCUGACAGAGUCCCUCUCCAGCUUCUGUAUAGCUCCCUUUCAGAUACUGGAAGGUUGCCAUGAGAUCUUCACACAAACUUCUCCAGGCCUGAAGAGCCCCAGCUUUCUCAGCCUGUUGUCAUAGGGGCUGUAUGCUCAGCUAGGACUGGCGACACUGAGACUUCCACAGUUGGCAGAAGACACUGAUCACCAGCAAGGUUUUUUGCUGCUGUGCUUUGUAAACCUUGUCAUCGGGUCUGGCUGCGCUGAAAGCAGCAUUUCCCAGAGACACCCCAAUGCUACAGAUUUCCCUGAGCAAGGGCUUUGCAAAGGAGGGAUGAAAAAGUGUUCUACAACACAAUCACAGUCCUCAAGAGUAUGAAUUUCUACAAGGGAAAGAGGAAAAAGGAAUCAAAAAAACUCAGUGCCUUUCAGGGAGUCUUUGUAGACUACAAUAAAACUAGAUGAAAAAGGUGAGAUUUUCCCCCUCCCCAGUCUCCUGCCAAUCAUUUCACAAAUUAACAGGUGUGAAGGUAGAAUUCAGCUCCCAACAGCACGAUGAUGAUUAUUCCUUCAUUUCAUUCCAACAGCUGCACUUGGAAAAUAUUUAACAGAAGCCAUUACCAUUCACUAUGUUGAGAGGGUAACAAUCAACACUGUAUUAUGAUUCCCGGAUAAAGGACCUUUUACAUCUUGGCCUUUAAUGAAUGCUGAAAUAUCUCCAUGUUCUGGUUUUUCGUUUGUCCUGUGCUCGCUGUUUCCAAGUCACACAAACACCACCUCGAUUGACAAAGCCCCAGCCAGGGCCAUUUGUCAGUGUGCACAGGAACACACAGUGUUUUCAUCAGUGCAUCCUUUUACCAUUCUGGCAAAUCUGCAGUUUGCACUUGGGCGAUGUGGAAAUGACACAACUCUUCCGACAGACAGGCAGGGUGACUGAAAACAUCCGCGCUCGAUGCCAACAACCUGCCUUACGUGCUGCUGACUCACCUGCUUGGCUCAGCUGGAGGGAGGUCUCUAAACUGGCUGCACUGCUGCCAUUCGCUCUUGCCAGGGUCAUGUUAGGCAACUCUCCUAAUGGUGUGUGCUGAAAUGCUGCAGAGAGCACUGCCACGCUCCCAAUGCUCCUCAGUUGCUGCAGAUGAUAUUAAGACAUGGGUUACACCACCUAUUGACCAAUACAUUCAGAGUCCUGUCAGCACAGAGCAGGUAGUGCUGUGUCCAGGGGACAGCUAUGCUGUCAUUUAUUCAUCUCCCCUAGGCAGGCCCUGGCAGUAGGAAGAAAAUCACAGGCAGAAGAGAGUGCUCCUUAGUCACUGAAGCACCUUCUUGUAAAGUCUGAGUCCUGCUGCAUUAAUCACAUGAAAUUAGACUUUUUAAUGAGAGGGUGGGGGAAGCAGUAGUUUCCCUUUUGAGUUGUUGGAAAGUCAUUCCUUCCUCUCACCUUGUCCCUGUGUAUCUAAUUUCUGUGGAAGUGAUCUGCAAUGCCCACAACAGGCCCACAUGCUACCCUCACACCAAAACAAAUGAAAAUCAUCACAGAAACUCAUCUUGGUUGGGACCUACAUCUGCAUUUCUUCUCACAGGUGCCAUUUAAUCUCUAAAAAGACCAUUUUUGGAGAAGCAGCCUGGCAUUAAUUUCAAAGUGAAAGCACAUACAAGCUCUUGUUCAGAUGCAUGUACUCCACAACAGUGGAAACUAUUUUUAUAGGCAUUAACAGGAGUGUGAGCAUAAUGGACUAAGUUAGGGGCCUCAACACAUACAUAAAAGCAAUUCAGGCAAAACACUAAGUGGGAUAUAAAUUGGCUGCAAUAACACUUCAGCAGACAAUUAUGUCAUUAUGUCCCCAGAAUUCAGAGUGAGGUCUGUAAGUCUCCCAGAAAACAAGCUGAAGCAGAGACCUCAAUAGUUACAAACACUGCAGGCCUCAUUUAAGAACAGGAGUACAAUUAUUUAUGGCAUUGACAGUUUCAUGUGUCCAGAGAUCUUUUUCAUAUAGAAAGUAUUUGUUUUGGGGUUUCCCCUGGCUUUCCUCUGACUAGAAACUGAAGGGGGCCAGGGGCAGAAUGUCAUUGUUUUAUGGCUAAAGUAUCAGGAUGGGCAACUUGUACUCUGAUUUUUUUUCUCAGACAUUUUUUUUCCUGCAUGAGCUCAGGCAAGUCACAAAGAAUUUACACUGACAGCCAAUCAGUAAUCCUAGGCUGGCUUCUUCACUUAACUGCACGGACUAUCUUAAUGUCUGCGAGCCAUUGUACAACAGAGCCUGCAGCCAUGCUAAAUAAAGAUAAAAUGGUUAAAUAUUUAUAAAUUGCUUCUUUUGGUAGUUUAACAUUUAGAUCAGAAGCCAUCCCUCAACAUGCCUCCCCUGAAAAAAGCCCAGGAUGUCAUGGGACCUAAUGUCUUGACAACUCGUUCCUUUCAAGUGCUUUUGACAGAAAUGGGACUACCUAUUCAUGCAGCUCAGCUCUGUGCUCAUACUCCCAAAGCAGUGCCGUCAGUGAUUGUCACCACGCUGCCCUUCCCAGCCUGGCCCCGGGGAGAGGCUGUCCGUCCGCUGAGUCCGGCUGCACCAGCACCCCCUUCCAGGAGAGCGGAUCUGCUCCCCGCUCGGACAAGCUGGCAGCAGAAGCAGCACCUGGACUGACAUCAGAUUUCACUGCAGGAUGGUCAUAGGGCUCUCCUACAAAGAGCACCUACUGCCUCUUCAGAAAGUCCUGUAUCUUUUCCUGCUUCAUUUGCGAGGUUUGCAUGAGAUGUACUUGCUUGUGCUGCAAUUAUAACUGAGCACUACAUACACAGCAUAAAGCACUCCUUGUGCUGCUUGGGUUGGAGCAACAGGGAACUUUCAGCCACUUCUAGUACAGGUGACAGAGGAAGCAUCAAAAGCAGCUGCCUUCAACUCCUGGUCCCAAACUAAACUGUAAACUGCUUUUUUUAGAGAGGAAAAAAAAUCAUCUAUCUCAUAAAUAAGUCGAACAAGUUCUCAUGUUCUCUUUCAGUGACUGACAAGAUCAUACUUAAAUGACUGACCAAAAGGGUUUUAUGGAAACGAAACAAUGAUUAGCCAUUGGUUAAGCUACUUAAGAGGCAGAAGACAGGGUACUCUCCUUACUUCCUCUCAAAAUCCAUUAUCACCAGCCUCAAUCAAUUUUUCCUGCUGAGCUGUCCUCAAGCCAUAUAACUUACCCAGUCCUUCUACAUCUCCUUCCCUCCCUGACAGCAGUUUUGUUUUUCAUCACUUUUCAACCUCCUCUCCUUCAGGGGUCCUGAAAAGACCCACACCAUUAGCAACCAUUUCAACUCCUUUUAUAAAAGGCCCUGGGACACAACAACAUUUUAGGAAAUAGAUCUGCUGGCUCCACACAGGUUACUAAAGAUUGAAGCCACAACUGCCAGAAUGAGCUUGAACUGUCCCCUUCUUGGGAAUUAGCCAUCACUUUCCGUAACGCCUCAGGGAAAUGGGUCAUUUUUGAAGAGAAUAAUCUGAUGUUGCUCUAUGGUUAAGUGCUCCCAUAUUGCUCAAUGACCAACUAACAAACAUCAUGAAACACUGAAAUUAUCAAUUUGUAUUGCUGCUUUGAGACAGGGAGUUCAAGACCACCGACAGUGUAGCAAGAGACCUCACUCCAGGUCUUGAUGGACGAAGCUUGAGCCCAAACUCAAAUUACAGCUUUGUUAGGACAUGAGUCCACAACAACCAACUUACAUCAUGUUGAAGAGGUCUGAGGAACACAAAAGAUGUGCUGAGAGAGGACAAGAGCACAGAGCUUGCUCCCCCACCUCCUCCUGGCCAAGCUGGUCUACACCACAGCACCAUGAGGAAGAAACCAGACUGGAGUGAUGAGAAACCACAGGCUGCAUUCCCCUCCCCUCGUCCUGGCACAUUUCUGGGCAAGACACUACAGGGCAGUUUUGCCUGACCACUCCAAUAACUUUUGGAAUGGUUCCUAUUGGGGAACAGCUAUUGGUACGUGUAUUGUUUCCUUUUUUUUCAGAAUGACAAUGUAAGUGCAACAACUGUAAAAUCAUCCCCCUUGCAGAAGAGAUUGUCUGUAAAUACUCCCCAAAGCAGAUCUAAACCAAACAAAACACAGGCAAAACUCCUAACUGGCCUUAGUGAGGUCUUGCAAAUGCAACACUCAAACACCGUGUGCAGCCAACGUAACAGCAAA